GAUGAACGCUGGCGGCGUGCCUAAUACAUGCAAGUCGUGCGGCAGCGAGCCCUUCGGGGUGUCGGCGAGCGGCGGACGGCUGAGUAACACGUAGGAACAUACCCCAAAGUGAGGGAUAACUGCUCGAAAGAGUAGCUAAUACCGCAUGUGGUCUAAGGAUUAAAGCUUCGGCGCUUUGGGAAUGGCCUGCGUUCGAUUAGCUAGAUGGUGAGGUAAAAGCUCACCAUGGCGACGAUCGAUAGCUGGUCUGAGAGGAUGAUCAGCCAGACUGGGACUGAGACACGGCCCAGACUCCUACGGGAGGCAGCAGUAGGGAAUUUUCCACAAUGGGCGAAAGCCUGAUGGAGCAACGCCGCGUGCAGGAUGAAGGCCUUCGGGUUGUAAACUGCUUUUAUAUGUGACGAUUAUGACGGUAGCAUAUGAAUAAGGAUCGGCUAACUCCGUGCCAGCCGCCGCGGUAA
Molecule: ribosomal RNA, 461 nt
Filed under: uncultured bacterium
Lineage: Bacteria
Description: partial 16S ribosomal RNA
Rfam family: Bacterial small subunit ribosomal RNA
Source: RNAcentral